GAAGUAGGGAAAGAAUCCCAUGAGUGUCGCCCGGGCAUACAAAAACCUGUAGUCUGAGGAGCUCUAGUGCGUGUAGGGAUUCUCAAAAGUGUUUUCUGUCGUUAAGAGAGACACCUGCUAGUGACAAGAGGGGUCUGCAGAAGAUUGGACAUGAUGAGAUCUGUUGGCCUUUUGAAAGCAUGGACCCUGUGGCUUUCACUUACCACUGGUCUACAGUGCCUGGAAUGGUCCCACUGCCCAAACCCAACUAGAAGCCAGAGACUAAAAGAGCCUAUUGUGUAGUCCCUGGAGGUCAACAUCCCAUAACAGAGAAUAAGGUGGAGAUGGAUUGAAAAUGGACCUGGAGAGGGGAUCCUUAAAGCCAAGUGCCCAAGAACAUCAGAUCAAGAACUCCUGGAUGAAAACCUGACUUACAGAAAUAUCGCAGUAGAGAAUAAAUGGCAGGGAUGCCUAGACACCAUGGACAUGUGACGUGACCGAGGACCACUUGAUGGCAGCAGAGACCCAACUAAACUGUCCACUAGCUUAUGUACCUUACUAGUAAGGUUUAAAGGCCUCAUUAAGGCCCAGAUUUAAAGGUUCAGUUAAACAAGACCACUCUGAUUAUCUCACUGCCUGCUGCAUCUACCUAGAGACAGAGAAUGAGCAAGGACCCUAGGAAGCUGGCUAUUACAGCGUCUAGUAGACAUGCCUCUGAAAAGACAUUUGGGUUGUUUCCACCUUGCGGGAAUUGUGAAGAAUUGGUGUGCAAAUAUCUGUUUGAGUUCCGUCUUCAGUUUAUUUUGGAUAGUCACAAGGUUUCUAUUGGACUAGUUGUGGGCCCACAUAAAUGUACACUGCUGAUGUGCUGAAUCCUACCUAUUUCAUCUCAGACUUCGGUCCUUGGCCCUCAUUAUGGAAUCCUCCCUUGCUCUGCUUGCAGGAAUGAAAUAUCAUAUGAACUAAUAUGACCACCUUCCUCCCUUUUGAAGGACAAGAUCCCUAAAUAGUCAACAACAAGAAGGACCUACAAGAUAACAGGACAUGCUGACUGUGCUGGUUUAUCCUGACCAUUUCUUUGUUUGGAGUUAUAAAAGCCAAAACCAGCCUUCUCACUCAGAACGGGUCUUGGAAAGUUUCUUUGCCUCCUGUUCUUUGUUGAUGCAUCUUCAAUAAACCUUCUUACAAAAGCA
Molecule: long non-coding RNA, 1172 nt
Organism: Choloepus didactylus (southern two-toed sloth)
Lineage: Eukaryota; Metazoa; Chordata; Mammalia; Pilosa; Megalonychidae
Exons: 10
Source: RefSeq, a predicted model, not a curated record